This 416-nucleotide RNase P RNA is filed under the name Patescibacteria group bacterium. RNAcentral's name for it is "RNase P RNA component class A". It matches the Rfam family "Bacterial RNase P class A". Rfam says of the family: Ribonuclease P (RNase P) is a ubiquitous endoribonuclease, found in archaea, bacteria and eukarya as well as chloroplasts and mitochondria. Its best characterised activity is the generation of mature 5'-ends of tRNAs by cleaving the 5'-leader elements of precursor-tRNAs. Cellular RNase Ps are ribonucleoproteins. The record is from RNAcentral.
CUCGCUUGCCGGAUAAUCGCCCCCGCCUUGGCGGGGGAGGAAAGUCCGAACACCCAAUUUGAUAUAUCGAUAUUUCGAUGUAUCUAAUCGUCGUGAACACCGCUAACGGCGGCCGAGGGCAACCUUAGGGCAUCCUGCAGGGCGCGGAAACCGCGCUUAAAAGGAGAGAGUGCAACAGAAACAUACCGCCCGGGCGCUUGCGCUUGGGUAAGGUUGAAAUCGCGGGGAGCGCGAUUAAGCGUUCUUAAUGUAAGAGCCCGCGCGCUUAUUCCGAGAGGAAUCGGCGGGGCAAACCCGUUCUGGUGCAAGGGGAAAAUAACACCCGCAUGAGCCCGCCAGCAAUGACGGGCCCAGAGAGAUGAUUAUCGCCCCGCCUUGGCGGGGUACAAAAUUCGGCUUAUAGGCAAGCGAGAUUU